Pelobates cultripes (western spadefoot toad) is the source of this 463-nucleotide non-coding RNA. The record is from the annotation of a GenBank genome assembly. Lineage: Eukaryota; Metazoa; Chordata; Amphibia; Anura; Pelobatidae.
GCACACUGGAAUAAAGGUAAGAUUUCACUAUAUUUAGAGAGGCAUAAGGGGAGACAGGGGGUUAGAUGGUGUUUUUAACACUAUAGGGUCAGGAAUACAUAUUUGUGUUCCUGGCCCUAUAGUAUUCCUUUAAGUUUUUUUUCUCUUAUCUCCCACACCCUAUUUCCAUACUUCUUUCUCCUGUCUCAUUUCCUUCUGUUGUCAUACUGUUUCACAUUGUGAAUUAUGUGUCAAUAAUAAUUAUGAUGUAUUUGGUUAUAGUUUUCCCUUUGCACCUUUACAGUAUGUAUAGCAAUAUCUAGAUAGACAUUCUACAUGAGAAAAAAUAGGGAACAUUUGUUGUGACUUUCUAGUCUCAAACUUGCAACUUUUUAUUUUAACAUUUGUAUCUUAGAAAUGUCACAAUUGUUCCAUCCCUUUUUAUAAUUCAACUGCAUUUAUUUUUAUACAUAAUAUGCAACAA